This 253-nucleotide ribosomal RNA is filed under the name uncultured bacterium. RNAcentral's name for it is "partial 16S ribosomal RNA". It matches the Rfam family "Bacterial small subunit ribosomal RNA", at positions 524 to 776 of the family's 1533-position model. The record is from RNAcentral.
UACGGAGGGAGCUAGCGUUGUUCGGAAUUACUGGGCGUAAAGCGUACGUAGGCGGUUAUUCAAGUCAGAGGUGAAAGCCUGGAGCUCAACUCCAGAACGGCCUUUGAAACUAGGUAGCUAGAAUCACGGAGAGGUUAGUGGAAUUCCGAGUGUAGAGGUGAAAUUCGUAGAUAUUCGGAAGAACACCAGUGGCGAAGGCGGCUCACUGGACUGGUAUUGACGCUGAGGUGCGAAAGCGUGGGGAGCAAACAGG